This 45-nucleotide non-coding RNA is filed under the name Schistosoma margrebowiei. Lineage: Eukaryota; Metazoa; Platyhelminthes; Trematoda; Strigeidida; Schistosomatidae. The record is from RNAcentral.
CUCCAGCUGACGAGUCCUAAAUAGAACGAAAUGCGCGUCCUGGAU